CUCGUAGGUGGUUUGUCGCGUCGUCUGUGAAAUUCCGGGGGCUUAACUCCGGGCGUGCAGGCGAUACGGGCAUAACUUGAGUACUGUAGGGGUAACUGGAAUUCCUGGUGUAGCGGUGAAAUGCGCAGAUAUCAGGAGGAACACCGAUGGUGAAGGCAGGUUACUGGGCAGUUACUGACGCUGAGGAGCGAAAGCAUGGGUAGCGAAUA
This 209-nucleotide ribosomal RNA is filed under the name uncultured bacterium. Its description in RNAcentral is "partial 16S ribosomal RNA". It matches the Rfam family "Bacterial small subunit ribosomal RNA", at positions 568 to 774 of the family's 1533-position model. The record is from RNAcentral.